AUUCCUCGUCCGUCCUCCACAUGGGCUAGGCCCAAUGAAACCUUUUGUCCAACGCCCCCUUCCUCUAACCCUCGCACAGCCCUGCUCCAUCGUGCACCCCAGCCGCCGCUCGGAUCUCCAACGCCGCCAUUCUCGCCUAUCUUGCAACGAGGAUCUCCAACUCCAGCUCCACCCCGAGUCCGUCCACCGCCCUGGCCAUCACCCCAUAUCCACCGGCUCACAGAUCCCCGCUUGCAGUACCUUUGUCGGAAGGCCCGCGCGUCGUUGUGUGUGCCGCAUCUAGAGCCCAUGUCGGACUCGGAGGACGACAUCACCAGCAGCAGGGAGGUCGCCCCCAUCGAGAGCAUCAGCAAUCCGCUCGCCGAUGUCCUCGGGAGAACUGGAAGUGGGCUCCCGACUCCUUCCUGAAGACGCGUCUUGAGGACACUGGAUGCGCCCUCAAGUAUAUCCCACCCAUGGCACAUCGUCAACAAAAUUCUGAAUAUGCAUGCUCCUGAAUGGUUUGGGGUGGUUCACAACGUCAUCUACUCAUCUGAUUGGAAAUUUGUAUAUGUUAUCUAUCGUCUGACCCUCCAUGGAACUGAUGUUGAGGUAACUUUUUCUUGUCGUCAGAAAUGGUUUUGCAUUUGGCUCUGUUCUGGAUCUGUUUGGGUUUACGCUACUCUUCUUUAUUACAAUAUUACUCAGAGGUUCAGUGUAUAUAGUUAGUUGAUCAUGUACUAUGCAUAUGGAAAAUGUUUAAAUGGAUCAUAGUAUUUCUAUGUGGACAUGACGAAGUGAGGAUCCUACUAUCACUCAAUGUUCCAUUGUUGACACAAGCUCAUCUCAGUGUUUUUUUGUCACAUUAACUAAUAGUUCAAGUGUUCUAUAUCCAGUUGAUGACCGAAUCUAAACUAUUGUAAAUGUAUGUCUGUUUUCUUAGCAAGGGCCAGAGCUAAGUAACAACUAUUUGGAUAUGUCUCUUUUCAGACUACUUCUGUUGAGUAUACAAGCUUUGGAGAUCAUGUUCAGAAGGCUGAAGGACUCGCUUUUCGCCGAGCUUGUGCCCGUCUUGGUCACUUGCCUUUCAUCGGUAUUUCAUAAUUAACUCAUGUGUAAAGGUACUUCUCUUGACUGGCUUUCUGGCAACAAUGGUGAUGCGUGUGCUCAAAAACGACUUCAAUAUAAGGAUCAUGUUCAGUAAGAUCUGAAAUGUGUAUUCUAUUUUCACACAUGGAUCGUCGCCUUAAAUGUUAGUAAUACGUGAUGUCAAAGGUGCUUACUGUUGAUUAUUCGUGGUGUACACUUCUGGAGAUAUCUCUUGGUGCGUAGGCACUUGCCCUUCAUUGGUAUUCCAUGAUGUUGAAAUAUUAGCUUUCUUCCAUUUCUUCUUUUGUUGCUUACAAUUAUUAUUUCCAUGGCAGUGACACUGCGUCCCCUACACAAGCAUAGUCCACGCAUUCAGCAAGGCCCGGAGCUGAGAAUGGCGUGCCUAAUUAGUUGUCCAUUAGUACCAUGAACAAUAAAUCAAUGUUAUUGUGUGCCCUAAUAACUUACGGAUUUGUUGUGUGACUGGUGUUGAUAUUGACCUGCAUCCCUUGAACUUGAUCAAGAAUAUUCUACUGAUCUAUUGCUUUAGAAGUUUCACCAUAACAAUUGCUUUUAUUUAAAGUAGAAUAAUCUUUUGAUCGAGUCAUUUUCCUUUUUUUUACAUGCGCAAUUCUUCAUGAUAUUGUAUUUUUGUAAUUAAUUCUCAUGCAUAUGUAGUUUGAGAAAAUUGUUAAUCAACAACGUCAUGUUGAACACCUGUGUGAAAGGUUUUAUUCCAACAUACUUAAAUAAGUUGUUUUUGCAACUCUUUAGCAUUGUGAUGGUCUUGAUUUAUUAUCUUAGCAUCAUGUGGCAAGUCUGCAUUUUUUCAAGGAUUCUUCUCACAUGAAGUUUAAAACGUGUCUCUUUUUUGUUUGUUAUUGAAACCUCAAAUCAGGUGGGAGAUGAGUAGUCAUUGGUUCACUUGUCAAAUUUUGGGCAUCAACGAUAAUAUGGUCUCAAGUGGAUGUUGCUUGAUGGAUUUGAGUCAUCUUCAACAAGUGGAAGACCCAAGUUGGUUUGCAUCUCUCCUCCUCUUGGAUUGCACGAUCUAUGCAGGACAUUCCCAUCGAGGGUCCUCAUGGUGGUGACGACUAAUGAUGAAGGAGGAAGGGGGCUUGGUGGUGGAGGCGAGGACGGUGCCUGCCCGUCUCCGCUUGGUCUGAGUGGCACUACUACUGCGAUAUGCAAGCACCUCAGGUGUGUCUACAUCCCUCAGUAUUUCCAAUGAUGCAUGCCUUAUUGUCUACGUCACUCAAAGUAGAUUUAUGGAGACGCAUGUGUUUUCCCUGAGAUAAAGGAUGAGUCAGGUUGCAAGCGGGGCGGGAUAUCCCGCUACGCCGCUGGACCGCCCCGCAAAAUACACCCGCGAAACUCCGCUGGGCCGACCGCUUCGUUUCUAGCGGGAUGAAGCGGUCACUCCGCAUUGUCCACCGACAGGCCGCAAGUACCGCAAAGCCCGCGUAGCUCUCAGAUCUCACUGAAGCUCCCAACUCCCCGACGGCCAGAGCCCGGGACCUCCCGCUCUCGCGGACGCCGCCUCCACACCCGGGGCCCCGACCUGCUCUUUCCUCUCCCCUCCCUCUCCGAGAACCUUCUAGGAGUUCCUGAAGCUAGGGUCGACAGUGGCGGCGCCGCCAUCUCUACCUCAGGGCUGGCCUGCUUAGAUCCUCGACGGAGAACUUGUUCCUCCACCGCCUAAUGUUCCUCUGUCGCUUCCCUCGCCAACUGCAGCCUGCGUUUCGUCGCCGUCAACUUCCGCGAGGCCUGCAUCCUCUCUCCGCCCUUUCCUCUCCUCCAAGAACAAAGUGCAUCUGAGGAGUCGCUGCAGCUACAAACGGAAAUACCCAACAUCUGUCCAAGGAAUGGGUAACUUCCUAAUGACCCUAAAGAUCAACUUCCCAGAAUGAUAUCCAAUGCUCGGAAGGAAGCUCAUCCUAGCAUGCAAGGGCUCGGAAAGGGCACCUGGGGCGAACUCGCGGAUUGGGCCACGGACGCGACCAGUUGGUGAAGGAAGCAGGGGUGUGGGGUGGCUUUGCAGGAGCGGUGCCCUUAAAGCGCACCACCAUGAGCCACCCAUUAACGGGGUAGACUCCGACCUGAAAGAGGUGAGAGCAGUUGUGGCCAGAGAGGAGGCGGACGACAGCGUGGCCAUGGAGGCCACUGACACAAGCUUAGGGAGGAGUACGGAAGCUUUGGGGAUGGCGGCACGACGGCGUCGGCAGCCCCAACUCCUACAUGACAAACAGGGGUGGGAAUAGGGCGACGAAGGUAGGCUGGAUCUGGCUUCAGCGGUUGGAGAGGACGUCGGGGAAAGGAGAUCAGGCCACUCAUUAAGUAGCAAUCAUGGUGUUGUCAUGUUGUAGCGACUGAACAUAGAAGCAAGCUGUGUGGUAUUGGUUCAGGUUCAGGUCCAGGUCCAGGUCCCUCCCUCUGGUCUAAAAACUUAUAGUUACCUAAAUAUUGUAAAUGUAUGAAUUGGCAAACGAAGGGCAUUUUCUUGUUGAAACUAACCA
Lolium perenne is the source of this 3584-nucleotide non-coding RNA. Lineage: Eukaryota; Viridiplantae; Streptophyta; Magnoliopsida; Poales; Poaceae. The record is from RefSeq and is a predicted model, not a curated record.